This 301-nucleotide ribosomal RNA is filed under the name uncultured bacterium. RNAcentral describes it as "partial 16S ribosomal RNA". It matches the Rfam family "Bacterial small subunit ribosomal RNA", at positions 509 to 807 of the family's 1533-position model. The record is from RNAcentral.
CAGCCGCCGCGGUAAUACGUAGGGUGCGAGCGUUAAUCGGAAUUACUGGGCGUAAAGCGUGCGCAGGCGGUUAUAUAAGACAGAUGUGAAAUCCCCGGGCUCAACCUGGGACCUGCAUUUGUGACUGUAUAGCUAGAGUACGGUAGAGGGGGAUGGAAUUCCGCGUGUAGCAGUGGAAUGCGUAGAUAUGCGGAGGAACACCGAUGGCGAAGGCAAUCCCCUGGACCUGUACUGACGCUCAUGCACGAAAGCGUGGGGAGCAAACAGGAUUAGAUACCCCUGUAGUCCCUGUCUCUUAUAC